UACAGAGGGUGCGAGCGUUAAUCGGAAUUACUGGGCGUAAAGCGCACGUAGGUGGCGACGUAAGUCGGGUGUGAAAGCCCCGGGCUCAACCUGGGAAUUGCAUUCGAGACUGCAUUGCUGGAGUACGGAAGAGGAAGGCGGAAUUCCCGGUGUAGCGGUGAAAUGCGUAGAUAUCGGGAGGAACAUCAGUGGCGAAGGCGGCCUUCUGGUCCAAUACUGACACUCAAGUGCGAAAGCGUGGGGAGCAAACAGG
This 253-nucleotide ribosomal RNA is filed under the name uncultured bacterium. RNAcentral describes it as "partial 16S ribosomal RNA". It matches the Rfam family "Bacterial small subunit ribosomal RNA", at positions 524 to 776 of the family's 1533-position model. The record is from RNAcentral.